GCCUGGGCCCCGGGUGGGGCCGGCCUGGGAGAUAAGGGCCUCCCAGCACCAUGAAUUAUUCACCGGCGCUGCCUCCUCCGCUCAAAGGCUGCCCUGGGCGCUGUAAUUGCACCUUCCUGAGGGGCCUGGACUCCUGAGGCUGUUCGUUGGCCUCGAUUAGUCCUUGCCAGCCUCCAACUCACCUCAUCACCUUCCUUCCACCCCCGCUGCUCCCUCAAUAACAUCUCAGGUGACUGAAGCAAUUUGCAGCCAUUUGAGGAAGCUCCAUGUGUCACUCAGCCUGCGAAGGUCCUUUCUUCUCACUUUUAAAGCCCUGGAAAUACACCUCUCACCUUCCUUCUCCAAGAGCUGCGCCAGCCUGCAAGUGGAGUGAAGGAGUUGCUAGAGAUAGAAUUCUGGUCCCCCACACCCCCCUCCUCAUCAUCUGACACCAUCAGACCUCAACAGUCUCCAUGCUAAGA
Suricata suricatta (meerkat) is the source of this 461-nucleotide long non-coding RNA. RefSeq lists it as uncharacterized. The transcript is spliced from 3 exons. NCBI's taxonomy places the organism in Eukaryota, Metazoa, Chordata, Mammalia, Carnivora, Herpestidae. The record is from RefSeq and is a predicted model, not a curated record.